AUUGAACGCUGGCGGCAGGCCUAACACAUGCAAGUCGAACGGUAACAGGAAGAAGCUUGCUUCUUUGCUGACGAGUGGCGGACGGGUGAGUAAUGUCUGGGAAACUGCCUGAUGGAGGGGGAUAACUACUGGAAACGGCAGCUAAUACCGCAUAACGUCGCAAGACCAAAGAGGGGGACCUCGGGCCUCUUGCCAUCGGAUGUGCCCAGAUGGGAUUAGCUAGUAGGUGGGGUAACGGCUCACCUAGGCGACGAUCCCUAGCUGGUCUGAGAGGAUGACCAGCCACACUGGAACUGAGACACGGUCCAGACUCCUACGGGAGGCAGCAGUGGGGAAUAUUGCACAAUGGGCGCAAGCCUGAUGCAGCCAUGCCGCGUGUAUGAAGAAGGCCUUCGGGUUGUAAAGUACUUUCAGCGGGGAGGAAGGGAGUAAAGUUAAUACCUUGGCUCAUUGACGUUACCCGCAGAAGAAGCACCGGCUAACUCCGUG
This 489-nucleotide ribosomal RNA is filed under the name uncultured bacterium. RNAcentral's name for it is "partial 16S ribosomal RNA". It matches the Rfam family "Bacterial small subunit ribosomal RNA", at positions 30 to 507 of the family's 1533-position model. The record is from RNAcentral.